UACAGAGGGUGCAAGCGUUAAUCGGAAUCACUGGGCGUAAAGGGCGCGUAGGUGGCGCGACAAGUCAACGGUGAAAGCCCGGGGCUCAACCCCGGGUCGGCCGUCGAUACUGUUGGGCUUGAGCACUGUAGAGGCAGAUGGAAUUCCGGGUGUAGCGGUGGAAUGCGUAGAGAUCCGGAAGAACACCGGUGGCGAAGGCGGUCUGCUGGGCAGUAGCUGACACUGAUGCGCGACAGCGUGGGGAGCAAACAGG
RNAcentral lists this ribosomal RNA (253 nucleotides) under uncultured bacterium. RNAcentral describes it as "partial 16S ribosomal RNA". It matches the Rfam family "Bacterial small subunit ribosomal RNA", at positions 524 to 776 of the family's 1533-position model. The record is from RNAcentral.